GUGUCAGCAGCCGCGGUAAUACGUAGGAGGCGAGCGUUAUCCGGAAUGACUGGGCGUAAAGGGUGCGUAGGUGGUUUGGCAAGUUAGUAGCGUAACCCCGGGGCUCAACCUCGGAACUACUACUAAAACUGUCGGACUUGAGUGCAGGAGGGGCAAUUGGAAUUCCUAGUGUAGCGGUGGAAUGCGUAGAUAUUAGGAGGAACACCAGUGGCGAAGGCGAAUUGCUGGACUGUAACUGACACUGAGGCACGAAAGCGUGGGGAGCAAACAGGAUUAGAAACCCUGGUAGUCC
This 292-nucleotide ribosomal RNA is filed under the name uncultured Eubacteriales bacterium. RNAcentral describes it as "partial 16S ribosomal RNA". It matches the Rfam family "Bacterial small subunit ribosomal RNA", at positions 505 to 796 of the family's 1533-position model. The record is from RNAcentral. Lineage: Bacteria; Bacillati; Bacillota; Clostridia; Eubacteriales.